UACGUAGGGGGCAAGCGUUAUCCGGAUUUACUGGGUGUAAAGGGAGCGCAGACGGUAAAGCAAGUCUGGAGUGAAAACCCGGGGCUCAACCCCGGGCAUGCUCUGGAAACUGUUAAACUGGAGUGCAGGAGAGGUAAGCGGAAUUCCUGGUGUAGCGGUGAAAUGCGUAGAUAUCAGGAGGAACACCAGUGGCGAAGGCGGCUUACUGGACUGUAACUGACGUUGAGGCUCGAAAGCGUGGGGAGCAAACAGG
This 253-nucleotide ribosomal RNA is filed under the name uncultured bacterium. Its description in RNAcentral is "partial 16S ribosomal RNA". It matches the Rfam family "Bacterial small subunit ribosomal RNA", at positions 524 to 776 of the family's 1533-position model. The record is from RNAcentral.